UACGGAGGGGGCGAGCGUUAUUCGGAAUUAUUGGGCGUAAAGGGCGCGUAGGCGGCUUGAUGUGUCAAAGGUGAAAUCCCUCGGCUCAACUGAGGAACUGCCUUUGAAACUGUCUGGCUUGAGGCCGGGAGAGGGUAGCGGAAUUCCCAGUGUAGCGGUGAAAUGCGUAGAUAUUGGGAGGAACACCAGUGGCGAAGGCGGCUCACUGGACCGGUACUGACGCUGAUGCGCGAAAGCGUGGGGAGCAAACGGG
Molecule: ribosomal RNA, 253 nt
Filed under: uncultured bacterium
Lineage: Bacteria
Description: partial 16S ribosomal RNA
Rfam family: Bacterial small subunit ribosomal RNA
Source: RNAcentral